This 253-nucleotide ribosomal RNA is filed under the name uncultured bacterium. Its description in RNAcentral is "partial 16S ribosomal RNA". It matches the Rfam family "Bacterial small subunit ribosomal RNA", at positions 524 to 776 of the family's 1533-position model. The record is from RNAcentral.
CACGUAGGGUGCGAGCGUUGUCCGGAAUUAUUGGGCGUAAAGAGCUCGUAGGCGGUGUGUCGCGUCGGCCGUGAAAACCUGCAGCUCAACUGCGAGCCUGCGGUCGAUACGGGCAGGCUAGAGUUCGGUAGGGGAGACUGGAAUUCCUGGUGUAGCGGUGAAAUGCGCAGAUAUCAGGAGGAACACCGAUGGCGAAGGCGGUUCUCUGGGCAUGUCCUGACGCUGAGGAGCGAAAGUGUGGGGAGCGAACAGG